GAAAUUAUAGUCAACGAUGAUAUUUGGGUUGCAUUCAAAAGGUGCCUUUUAAGGCUAAUUUUG
This 63-nucleotide transfer RNA is filed under the name Manuscaris liui. Its description in RNAcentral is "tRNA-Ala". Lineage: Eukaryota; Metazoa; Arthropoda; Malacostraca; Decapoda; Alvinocarididae. The record is from RNAcentral.